This 445-nucleotide ribosomal RNA is filed under the name uncultured bacterium. RNAcentral's name for it is "partial 16S ribosomal RNA". It matches the Rfam family "Bacterial small subunit ribosomal RNA", at positions 354 to 796 of the family's 1533-position model. The record is from RNAcentral.
GUGAGGAAUAUUGGUCAAUGGGCGGAAGCCUGAACCAGCCAUGCCGCGUGAAGGACGAAGGCGUUCUGCGUUGUAAACUUCUUUUAUAAGGGAAGAAACCUGCGAUAUCUAUUGUAGCCGACGGUACCUUAUGAAUAAGCACCGGCUAACUCCGUGCCAGCAGCCGCGGUAAUACGGAGGGUGAAAGCGUUAUCCGGAUUCACUGGGUUUAAAGGGUGUGUAGGCGGGCUUGUAAGUCAGGGGUGAAAUCCUACAGCUUAACUGUAGAACUGCCUUUGAUACUAUAGGUCUUGAAUAUUGGUGAGGUGGGCGGAAUACAUCAUGUAGCGGUGAAAUGCUUAGGUAUGAUGUAGAACACCGAUUGCGAAGGCAGCUCACUAAGCAAAUAUUGACGCUGAGGCACGAAAGCGUGGGGAUCAAACAGGAUUAGAUACCCUGGUAGUCC